RNAcentral lists this long non-coding RNA (907 nucleotides) under Fukomys damarensis (Damara mole-rat). RNAcentral describes it as "lncRNA (ENSFDAG00000025284.1)". The record is from RNAcentral. Lineage: Eukaryota; Metazoa; Chordata; Mammalia; Rodentia; Bathyergidae.
UUUCGUGAUCAUUUUGAUUUGGGGAAAAGCCAGAAAUUGCAAGAUGCCAGAUCCAGUGAAUAAGGUCAAGGAAAACAUACAUGGACAUAUGUACACACUACCAGGUAUCUGUUUGGUCUGUGUGUUGUUUCUCUGCCUUUCUGAUCCCAAGGAGAGAAGUACCUGGAACAUAAUAUGGAGAAGGAAAGGAAGAAAUACAGGCAGAGAGGGUGCACUGGGAAAGCACAAAGCGGACGAUGCUACUCCAGAUGGAGAAGCCACCACAGGAAAGAAAAGGGCAGAACCAUUGUAAUAUUUGCUUUCAAAAGCUGGAAGAAAAUUAGCUUUCUGUAAAAGGUAAAGAUGGAGGCAGAUCUAGACCACAUAAGGUUGACCCUGUUGCUAACUUGUCUACAUAUUAAGAGUAAUACAAAGUUAUUAAAUGAUUUAAGAGGUAUAAUUUGGUAUGUUCUUUGAAAAGCUAUUUCUAGCUAUUACAUGGAAAAUAAAGUGGAGAAACAGAAUUGGAAAUCGUUGCAGAAUUAUAAACUGAGAGAUGAUAGUUUGGACUAGAGUGAUAUUGAUGGUAAUGGUGAUAGGAAAUCACAGGCAGGAGAACAUUCUGAACAUAAAAUGGACGGCACUGGUUAAAGAAUAUGAAACAAAGAUGAAUUGGGCAUAUUGACAGCAAAUUAUGUUAUGGAGAAUGACAGAUGCUGGUUUUCUGAAAACUGAGAAAGUACCAUGUUUGGGAAGGAGAAAUUACAAUUUAGUGUGAAAGCAUUGAGUACUAGAUGCCUUUGAAGUUGGGCAAGCAUUUACCUCCAUUUUAAUAUUUCAAAAGUAAUUGGUGAACUUGAUUUAUUUCAGUAAUCUUAUUUAUACAACCUAAUUGCAUGGAAAAAAAUUUCCAGAUCUACCUGUCAAG